UGGGGAAUUUUGGACAAUGGGCGAAAGCCUGAUCCAGCAAUGCCGCGUGUGUGAAGAAGGCCUUCGGGUUGUAAAGCACUUUUGUCCGGAAAGAAAUGGCUCUGGUUAAUACCUGGGGUCGAUGACGGUACCGGAAGAAUAAGGACCGGCUAACUACGUGCCAGCAGCCGCGGUAAUACGUAGGGUCCAAGCGUUAAUCGGAAUUACUGGGCGUAAAGCGUGCGCAGGCGGUUGUGCAAGACCGAUGUGAAAUCCCCGAGCUUAACUUGGGAUUGCAUUGGUGACUGCACGGCUAGAGUGUGUCAGAGGGGGGUAGAAUUCCACGUGUAGCAGUGAAAUGCGUAGAGAUGUGGAGGAAUACCGAUGGCGAAGGCAGCCCCCUGGGAUAACACUGACGCUCAUGCACGAAAGCGUGGGGAGCAAACAGGAUUAGAUACCCUGGUAGUCCACGCCCUAAACGAUGUCAACUAGUUGUUGGGGAUUCAUUUCCUUAGUAACGUAGCUAACGCGUGAAGUUGACCGCCU
RNAcentral lists this ribosomal RNA (525 nucleotides) under uncultured bacterium. RNAcentral's name for it is "partial 16S ribosomal RNA". It matches the Rfam family "Bacterial small subunit ribosomal RNA", at positions 355 to 874 of the family's 1533-position model. The record is from RNAcentral.